Molecule: long non-coding RNA, 1109 nt
Organism: Ictalurus punctatus (channel catfish)
Lineage: Eukaryota; Metazoa; Chordata; Actinopteri; Siluriformes; Ictaluridae
Source: Ensembl
CACAGAGCAACAGAAGACCAUUCCUUUUCAAUGCACAUGGCCAAACAGAGCUACAAUUUCAGUGACAGCAGCAACCAACAAUGCUGCAGCACUACAAGCAACUUUUGAAUAGAGAUUUUCUCAAUUCUAUGACAAUUCAGCAUGACAUGGUUUCCAGUACCAGAGGAUGCAAAGCAGCCCCAGAGCAUCACCGAGCCCCAACUAUGUUUAACUAUGGACAGUGUUCUUUCUUCAUUCUUCGUCUUCCAGACAUACCGCUGAGCCAUCAUGCUGAAAAUUUCCAGUUCUGUUUCAUCACUCCACAGAACAUCUGUCCACAGAACUGAAUCCCAAAACUUCUGAGGCUUAUUUAUAUGAUUUUGAGCCAAGUUUUCUUGUGCUUUUGGAUCAGUAGUGGAAUACGUCUUGGAGUUCUGGCAUGGAAACCUUCUGCGUUUAGUAUACGCUUUACUGUGCUCAGUAAAACCUCAGUGCCUGUUACUACCAAGUCUUAAUGCAGGACUUUUGCAGUCACUCAAGGGUUUUUCACAACCUGCCUACUCAGAAAUCUUGUUGCAGCCGUUGAUAGCUUAAUUUUCAGGUAUUUCAUUUAUUUGAAAAUAAAUAAUUCAGGUAUUUCAUGUAUUCCAGCUCAAGCACACCUGAUACAACUAAUGAAGCCCUUGAUUAGCUGCAUCAGGUGUGCUUGAGACAACACCUGCUUUGCAUAUUUGUGCUGUUGUGAGGGAUUCUAUUCAGGGGGUUGAAUAAUUUUGAAACUGGAGAAAUCAUUAUACGUUGCAUUUUCAGUUGAAUUUGGGGAAAUCACUUGAAGCAUUCAUUGUGUUGAACUAUUUCAAUUGCUUUUGUUUGAUUUGUUCAUCGAAUUUUGACGAUAAACCUGAUUUGCAAUGGGGUUGAAUAAUGUUGAUUGCAACUGUACGUACAUGUGAGACUGAUAAUGAUAAUAUGGUGUACAAAAUGGCAAAACUAUCUUCAUGUAAAACAGUAAAAUCUUACAUUGCCAUUGUAAUAUUAUGAAUCAUUUUCAUACACAUAAAAAUGUUAUUUACUCUUUCAAUGUAUGACUUAGGCAUGGCAGUACCACAGGUCUUUGGAAUAAUUCAAAC